This 312-nucleotide long non-coding RNA is filed under the name Elaeis guineensis (African oil palm). RNAcentral's name for it is "long non-coding RNA (EGUI_LNC044849)". The record is from RNAcentral. Lineage: Eukaryota; Viridiplantae; Streptophyta; Magnoliopsida; Arecales; Arecaceae.
AUCCCCCUUCCUGGUGCGGUAAUCUAUUGCGGCCAACUCUCCAUCGUCUGUCGUCGGGAAUGAACACCUGCAAGACAGCGUCCACACAGAUCGAAUUUAUAUCCGACGGAGACCCUCCGAUGCCUAACUCAGAGAGAAAAAUUGAUGAACAAAAGUUGAAUGUAAGAAGAGUAGCAGAGUUUUGGCCCAGAGUUAGCUUACCAGCCCUGUUUUCCUUAUCCCUUUUUAUAGAUGAGGUUCUCAUAACCAUCGGAUGUGGUCCCGUAUUUUAUGGCACUAAAUCAUUGGGCCAUAAUCACGUAGUGAAUCAUU